CAGUCGCCACGGUAAUACGAAGGGUGCAAGCGUUAAUCGGAAUUACUGGGCGUAAAGCGUGCGUAGGCGGUUUGUUAAGUCUGUUGUGAAAUCCCCGGGCUCAACCUGGGAAUGGCAGUGGAUACUGGCUCGCUAGAGUGUGUCAGAGGAUGGUGGAAUUCCCGGUGUAGCGGUGAAAUGCGUAGAGAUCGGGAGGAACAUCAGUGGCGAAGGCGGCCAUCUGGGACAACACUGACGCUGAGGCACGAAAGCGUGGGGAGCAAACAGGAUUAGAUACCCCCGUAGUCCCUGUCUCUUAUAC
This 301-nucleotide ribosomal RNA is filed under the name uncultured bacterium. Its description in RNAcentral is "partial 16S ribosomal RNA". It matches the Rfam family "Bacterial small subunit ribosomal RNA", at positions 509 to 807 of the family's 1533-position model. The record is from RNAcentral.